Tripterygium wilfordii is the source of this 2584-nucleotide long non-coding RNA. RefSeq lists it as uncharacterized. The record is from RefSeq and is a predicted model, not a curated record. The transcript has 3 exons. NCBI's taxonomy places the organism in Eukaryota, Viridiplantae, Streptophyta, Magnoliopsida, Celastrales, Celastraceae.
AACAAAUACAGAUAUGCGAUCGAUUUUUCCCUCGGGCUUAAACAAAUAGUUAAAAGAACAUUCAAAAACCAUGGCCACUGCUAAAAGUACCAGAGUCCGUAAAUUGGUGGUUGGCGUCGAGUUCUCCACUUCUCCGAAGGAUUCAUUGACAUCGGUCGUGCUUGACAAAACUCCACAAUAUUUACAAACGACAAACGCAAAUGAGAUCCGUCCACGAGGUCGACGUCUCGCAAAACCCUAAACUCUGUCGCGCGAAGAUCUGAGGAGAAAUCUCGUCGAUCAGAUCGACAUCUCGUAAAACCCUAACCUCGUCCGUCGAUUUCUAUCUUCUACACGAAGAAAACGCAAAAAGUGAGAAAAACGAAGAGACGUUCUCGCGGUCGACCCUGCCGAUGGCGUCCUCCAGUUCUCCGAAGGAGUUAUUGACAUCGGCCGUGCUUGACAAGUCUCGCUUAUUGUUUCAGAACGACAACAGCUGCAAGGAGAAACGCACUUGCCAUCUGUCCACGAGAUCGAUUUCUCGCAAAACCCUAACCCCUGUCUCUAAGGCGCGACUAUUUGAGGAGAAAUCUCAUCGAUCAGUCACACUUUGGGGUCCUCAAGGACGAGGCCUCCCUCCCUCGUGUUCAAACGUUUGAAGAUACAGAUAAAAGUAUCAUAGCCAGUCGUGGAUGAAGCAGAGAAAGAAUAUGAGAUGUAUUGGCAGUCUGGGUGGAUCAGUGAAACUCAUGAAGCAAUGAAGGUAUAUCUAGCACCAUCCGUAUACAAUAUCUAUCCAGAUGCUUCUGAUCCUUUUGUGUUAUUUGUUACACUUUUCAUAUGCAGAGUUUGUCAGAUGCACAGAUCGCCUCAUCUUGUGGUAUGGUUGUAUUAAUUUUCUCUUUCAGAUCUUUGCUACUAUAAUGACUCUCGAAUAUGUGGAAUGUUUUCAAAAUACCUCCACUUUAAAAUGUGUCUGCUUUGAUGAGAUCAACUUUGUUAAGCAUAUUUUUGGGACCUUUUGUUAAACUCGAUCACAUGAUGACCCAUGUUAAAAGCUGACUUCACCUCAAAGACAGCUAAAUCUAAACUGCUGCAUUUGAAGGUUCUUGAAAUAAUGUCAAACCUAUACAUAAUUUUAGAUCUUUUCCUUUGUGCAUAUGUAUUGUCCAUGGUUUCCGGUGGACAAAUUGGUGGCAUAUUAUACCAUUCUUCAUGUUCCUUUAUGAUUAAAUUUGGUUUUAAAGAUUCAGACCAUGCAUUUUUUCCCGUAAUUUUGACCUGUUCCUGGUUGACUAGUUAAGUAUAAAUAAGCUUCAAUCCUUUUGCUUGUAAUAUUAUAUAUUGUUUGUUCUUCAUUCAAUUUUUUCCAAUGUGCAAAUAUCCAUCAAUGUUUUCUUUUGAAGGCACUUUUGAGAAGAAAAUUGAUGGUCCUGGGAAGCAGAACUUCAUCAACUUAGGGUCAUCUUGAGCUAGGUGAAGAUAAAUUUCUUAUGUGAUUCUCAGGAUAUUAUAAGACAUUCCAAAAAUAGCUGCUCGCGUGCUGUGAUUGGAUGUAUUACAGCAGGUCAGUUUAUUGCGCGUUUUAUCAAAAUAAUCUCAGGAAAAUAAGAAACCAAUAAUAACAAAUAUCAAUGCAGAACAAGCACUCGCUCAUGCUUGUACUUACGGAUUUCACAUUUUAUUAGAAUGGAAUGGACGGAUCGUGAAAAUUACACAAAAUUAGAUGUUCAAUCAGGAGGGCCUUCUAGAAUGGUGCAAUUAUACUCUGUAUGACCCAUUAUCUUUUCUUAAUUGGCGUUACGACUAACUGACUUAGGGGGAAUUAGCCUAGCUUUGUGCCCUAAAACUAAUUGAAAGAGUUUGCCCUACUUAUGGGUAGGUCUUGGGCCCCAAUGUCCUAAGCAUUGACGUUUGGAAUAAACACAAUCUAUAUUGGUGGGCCAAAGCCCAUUUUAGAUAGCAAUCCGUUGAAACCGGCGGUCAGUUCAAGAAGUGAUGGGGCCUGCAGUAAAACCAUAGGCCCGAUUUUGAUGGGCGAAACCCAAUUAUAUAUGCCUAUGAAACAACUUAGCGGGCAAGGUCAAGGCUAAUGGGCCUUAGAAUCAAUUGGGCCACCUAAGCAACCCAGGAAGACGCAUUUAUAGGAAAGGAAGACCAAUGGCCAAAGCCAAAGCCCAUUUUAGAUGGCAAUCGUUUAAAAUAGUGAACCUCUACAAACAUUAAUGGGCGGGCCUCGGGCCUAAUUAACUACAUCUUGGGUCAUAUUGUCCCUAGCAGGCCCACUUGCAGAUUCUCACGUACUGGGCCCGCUUUGACGAAUCUACUAAGACGGAUCCAUAGAACAUUGGGCCUAAAGUCCAAUCAAAAUGUGGGCCUCGGUUGGGGCCAUGUUCCUCUGCUAUGCCCAUUUUAACAACAUUGCAGGAUGUUCAUGCCCAACUUCAUAUUGGCCUUCAUGUUCAACUCGUAGAAUUUGGAAAGAACUUGGGCCUCUGGUCAGCUUUCGGGACCUGUAGAAUGUGGACCUGAUGCUGUUGGGCCAUACUUCUCUAACUACAUGGUUCCGCCAAGGGCAACGGCAUAACUUCCACCAGUCGCGGAC